This 1658-nucleotide long non-coding RNA is filed under the name Nicotiana tabacum (common tobacco). RNAcentral describes it as "long non-coding RNA (NTAB_LNC000405)". The record is from RNAcentral. Lineage: Eukaryota; Viridiplantae; Streptophyta; Magnoliopsida; Solanales; Solanaceae.
GUCUUUAUUUUUUUCUUAAACUAAAUAAACUUAACAGAAUGCAAUUUCAAUCACAUAUAUUAAGAAGAAAAUGAUAAUUUAACUAAUUUUUAACAGAUUUACAUGAUGAUAACACUAAUAUAACAUUCAUCUUGAAACAAAAUCAGAUCUAACAUGUUCCAUCAACCAAACCGGGAUCAAAUCCUUCUUAUUAUCAUCAAGAAUCUGCAAUAUAAGAAUUUAAAAGUUACCUGGUUUGUAGAAUAAUAAAGUACAAUAGUGCAUCAACAAAAAAUUCAGCAACAAAUACAGUAGAAACAACAGCAACUCAAGUGUUAAGACAACCCAGAAAACUCAACAAAGAUACUUGAAACUGGUAGCUAUCAACUUCACAAAUUACCUAAGGGAUCUUUCUAUUUUUCUCAAAGUUUUUUGCACUCAAAUAAUACUCACAAAACUCUGAAAUUUCAACUUGCUAUAUGAAUUAAGCUGCUGAUUUUUCUCAAAGAUAUAUGUCUUUAAGCAACUCUCCAAGAUGUGUCAGUGUAAGAUCGACUGUGUGCCCUUUUUAUAGGAGAAGAGAAGCCCUUUAAAUAGGCAAAUAAAUCAGAAUUUUUGGACAGAUUUUGGUUCACUAAAAGUCUGUCCAAAAAACUGAUUUUGUGUGCUAAACACUGUUCAAAAGUUGUCAAAAAGUAUUGUAUUUGUCACCACUCACCACACAAUAAUUUUUGAGUUUUGUACUCCAAAGUCUUUGCACAGUAAAAACAACCAAACUUGUACUAUUCCUUCUUUAAUUUCAGCUUUUAUCAAUACAAAAUUCAAAUACUCAAAUACAAUAAAAAUAAAUUUGCUAAGCACUUUAAACUUUUAUCAUAAACUAUCAUGACUAAGCGAAUACAACAACAACAAUAACCCAGUAUAAUCCCACUAGUGGGGUCUGGGGAGGGUAGUGUGUACGCAGACCUUACCCCUACCCUGGGGUAGAGAGGCUGUUUCCAAUAGACCCUCGGCAUCCUUCCCUCCAAGAACUCCCACCUUGCUCUUGGGGUGACUAAGCGAAUAGCUAUUUCAAAACUAAUUAAUAACUAAUUAUCAGUGAUUAAUAAAUAUGAAUGACUAAGCUAACAUAGAUUAAACACAACUAAUAAUAAAAAUAUAAAUAAUAUAAAUAAUAAUAAAAAAUCAUAAAUUAUGCUAGACAUAAACUAAAUACAAUACAAUUAGAAAAAAUAGAUAAAGGAAACGAGAAUAUGGGUAUACCAAACGGGGGCGUUCGGGGUGGUCGCCGGAAUUUGGCCGGAUUUUUAGUUGCCAGAUUUUCGGAAUGGAAUUGAUAUCAAUAGGUAGGUCUUGAUGAGCUCUAUCCGUUGGUAUAGGUAUUGUGGGGGUGGUAGUGGCCGGAACUUCAAGAUUUUGGGCAAAAAAAGUGGCGGCUAAAGUUUCCUAGAUCUAAAAUUCAAGGAGUUUGAAGGGGUUUUGAAGGAUUUGGUUUGGAGAUAUGGAAAGAAGAGGUUGUGGAGAUUACAUGGUGUGAAUUUGAGAGUAUUUGGAGGUUAGCCGCCGCCGGUGGGCGAUUUCCGUCGGACGGCAGCGGUGGUGGGGGCGGAUAUGGGAGAGAGAAGAGAGAGGAAGAAGAAAAGAAUUAUGGGAGAAAUGAGGGCAUUUUUCAGAUUUUU